This 72-nucleotide transfer RNA is filed under the name Camelus bactrianus (Bactrian camel). It matches the Rfam family "tRNA". From Rfam's summary of the family: Transfer RNA (tRNA) molecules are approximately 80 nucleotides in length. Their secondary structure includes four short double-helical elements and three loops (D, anti-codon, and T loops). Further hydrogen bonds mediate the characteristic L-shaped molecular structure. tRNAs have two regions of fundamental functional importance: the anti-codon, which is responsible for specific mRNA codon recognition, and the 3' end, to which the tRNAs corresponding amino acid is attached (by aminoacyl-tRNA synthetases). tRNAs cope with the degeneracy of the genetic code in two manners: having more than one tRNA (with a specific anti-codon) for a particular amino acid; and 'wobble' base-pairing, i.e. permitting non-standard base-pairing at the 3rd anti-codon position. Lineage: Eukaryota; Metazoa; Chordata; Mammalia; Artiodactyla; Camelidae. The record is from Rfam by way of RNAcentral. RNAcentral also lists the same sequence under 2 other names.
GAGGGUACAGCUCAGUGGUAGAGUACAUGCCUAGCAUGCAUGAGGUCCUGGAGUCAAUCCCCAGUAUCUCCA